Molecule: transfer RNA, 72 nt
Filed under: Crassvirales sp.
Lineage: Duplodnaviria; Heunggongvirae; Uroviricota; Caudoviricetes; Crassvirales
Description: tRNA-Lys
Rfam family: tRNA
About the family: Transfer RNA (tRNA) molecules are approximately 80 nucleotides in length. Their secondary structure includes four short double-helical elements and three loops (D, anti-codon, and T loops).
Source: RNAcentral
GUUCCUAUAGCUUAAUGGUAGAGCUACUCCCUCUUAAGGAGAAGGUUCAAGGUUCAAGUCCUUGUGGGAACA